UUCCUGGUAGUGUAGUGGUUAGGACUCUGCACUUUCACUGCCAUGGUCCUGGGUUCAAUCCCUGGUCAGGGAA
This is a non-coding RNA of Bos taurus (domestic cattle), 73 nucleotides long. The record is from Rfam. Lineage: Eukaryota; Metazoa; Chordata; Mammalia; Artiodactyla; Bovidae.